RNAcentral lists this ribosomal RNA (255 nucleotides) under uncultured bacterium. Its description in RNAcentral is "partial 16S ribosomal RNA". It matches the Rfam family "Bacterial small subunit ribosomal RNA", at positions 524 to 776 of the family's 1533-position model. The record is from RNAcentral.
UACGGGGGGAGCAAGCGUUGUUCGGAUUUACUGGGCGUAAAGGGCGCGUAGGCGGCCACCGCAAGUCGGUUGUGAAAUCUCUGGGCUUAACCCAGAAAGGUCAACCGAUACUGCGGGGCUAGAGUGCAGAAGGGGCAAUCGGAAUUCUUGGUGUAGCGGUGAAAUGCGUAGAUAUCAAGAGGAACACCUGAGGUGAAGACGGGUUGCUGGGCUGACACUGACGCUGACAGCGCGAAAGCUAGGGGAGCAAACGGG